RNAcentral lists this unclassified non-coding RNA (391 nucleotides) under uncultured fungus. RNAcentral's name for it is "partial contains small subunit ribosomal RNA, internal transcribed spacer 1, and 5.8S ribosomal RNA". The stretch from base 1 to 73 matches the Rfam family "Eukaryotic small subunit ribosomal RNA", at positions 1759 to 1831 of the family's 1831-position model. The record is from RNAcentral. Lineage: Eukaryota; Fungi.
GCAAACUUGGUCAUUUAGAGGAAGUAAAAGUCGUAACAAGGUUUCCGUAGGUGAACCUGCGGAAGGAUCAUUAGAAAUGUUUUGUUCACCCGGUCCUUGGCUUCAAUUCGUUCUGCCUUGAAAGAGGUUGGAAUGAUUGGCCGGAUUCUGGGCACAUCAUUUCCCAGUCUCUCUGCCCAAGACUUGUUCUCGGAAAGAGGGCUGGAACUUUUUGUUUGAGGAGUUUUCUCUUCAUUCAUAUCUACACCUUUGAACUUUUUCUAAAAGUCUGAACCUUUUAUGAAUAUUUGUGUAAAGUAUUUUUCGAAAUAUUUUAUGUGAAUAUGAAAUAAUAACAAAAACAACUUUCAACAAUGGAUCCCUCGACUCUCCCAUCGAUGAAGAACGCAGC